CUGAGUACGGCGGAACACGUGAAAUUCCGUCGGAAUCCGGGAGGACCAUCUCCCAAGGCUAAAUACUCCCUAGUGACCGAUAGUGAACCAGUACCGUGAGGGAAAGGUGAAAAGCACCCCGGAAGGGGAGUGAAACAGUUCCUGAAACCGUGUGCCUACAAGUAGUUAGAGCCCGUUAAUGGGUGAUAGCGUGCCUUUUGUAGAAUGAACCGGCGAGUUACGAUUUGUUGCAAGGUUAAGCGGAAAAAGCGGAGCCGUAGCGAAAGCGAGUCUGAAUAGGGCGCAUAAGUAACAGGUCGUAGACCCGAAACCAGGUGAUCUACCCAUGUCCAGGAUGAAGGUAAGGUAAUACUUACUGGAGGUCCGAACCCACGCACGUUGAAAAGUGCGGGGAUGAGGUGUGGGUAGCGGAGAAAUUCCAAUCGAACUUGGAGAUAGCUGGUUCUCUCCGAAAUAGCUUUAGGGCUAGCCUCGAGGUAAAGAGUCAUGGAGGUAGAGCACUGUUUGGACUAGGGGCCCU
This 520-nucleotide ribosomal RNA is filed under the name Listeria monocytogenes. Its description in RNAcentral is "partial 23S ribosomal RNA". It matches the Rfam family "Bacterial large subunit ribosomal RNA", at positions 408 to 929 of the family's 2925-position model. Lineage: Bacteria; Bacillati; Bacillota; Bacilli; Caryophanales; Listeriaceae. The record is from RNAcentral.